CUGCUGGUGAGUUAUUGCCGCCCAAGCAGCUCCCCAGGGCAGGAUACCUACCCAGCCCCUGGCCUCACCACAGCUUGUAAGAGAAAAUUACAUUUUGAUCUACAUUUCCCAUUUCCAUUCUCGGUCACCUGGCUUUGGAGACAAAGGGAAGAAAAGAGUGUUUUCUUGCUCUCUCUCUCUCUCUCUCUUCAGUUGUCUGUGUACUGUGCCCCCCUCCCUCUCCCUCUGCCAUCACUGUCCUGCUGGCCAGCUGGGGAGAUAAUGUAUCCCUGUGAGGAGUCAUCACUCAGGUCAUCUCCUGGUCUUGGGGUCAUCAAGGCCCAGAGUUGAGGGCAAGAUGGCAUCUGACAGUCACCAGAUGGACCCUGAAAGGAGUAACAAAGCCAUUCUUCCUCAGGCCUUCUGUGAUUGGCCCAGAACAACUCCCCAGAAAAUGUGUGAGUGCACUUUUGCAAACUUCCGAGAAAAUCACUCUCAACAAUGGGUGAGCGUGUUGGUCUUGGUGAAAUCCAGAACAAAAGCAGAGGUAUGUUGAAGUGUCAGCCAAGGACAACGGAUCAGAAACCCACUCCAGUGAACUCAAGUGCAACUGAGGCUUUGCUGUGCCAUUCCGAAAGGUGUCAUGGGAACCCAGAGGCAACGUGAGCAGCAGGCCCCA
RNAcentral lists this long non-coding RNA (658 nucleotides) under Fukomys damarensis (Damara mole-rat). RNAcentral's name for it is "lncRNA (ENSFDAG00000028601.1)". The record is from RNAcentral. Lineage: Eukaryota; Metazoa; Chordata; Mammalia; Rodentia; Bathyergidae.